RNAcentral lists this ribosomal RNA (433 nucleotides) under uncultured bacterium. RNAcentral's name for it is "partial 16S ribosomal RNA". It matches the Rfam family "Bacterial small subunit ribosomal RNA", at positions 29 to 507 of the family's 1533-position model. The record is from RNAcentral.
AACGAACGCUGGCGGCAUGCCUAACACAUGCAAGUCGAACGAGACCUUCGGGUCUAGUGGCGCACGGGUGCGUAACGCGUGGGAACCUGCCCUUAGGUUCGGAAUAACUCCCCGAAAUGGGUGCUAAUACCGGAUAAUGUCUUCGGACCAAAGAUUUAUCGCCUUUGGAUGGGCCCGCGUUGGAUUAGCUAGUUGGUAGGGUAAAAGCCUACCAAGGCGACGAUCCAUAGCUGGUCUGAGAGGAUGAUCAGCCACACUGGGACCGAGACACGGCCCAGACUCCUACGGGAGGCAGCAGUGGGGAAUAUUGGACAAUGGGCGAAAGCCUGAUCCAGCAAUGCCGCGUGAGUGAUGAAGGCCUUAGGGUUGUAAAGCUCUUUUACCCGGGAUGAUAAUGACAGUACCGGGAGAAUAAGCUCCGGCUAACUCCGUG